GUACAAGAGGGGAUUGGGGAGGGCAUUUGCCCCCUAGCUUGUAUGUUAAAAAAGGCCCUGUCCUACGCCUACGGGAUACGGAAAUGUUUGGUCUUUGGCAAUAGUUGCGAUUAGCUAAAUGUCAGCACCAGCAGUGAUUGAAUAUUUCUGAUAGUUGUCUUGUUAUUUGUUCACUUUAAAGUAUAAUUCAUUUCAAGACCAGAUAUGGUUGAGGCUACGUCACUUGGCAUUGCAACUAUAUGAAGUUGGACGAUGAUUUUUAAGAAUACAUUUCAAAACAUGCUCAACUGGUAUUUGCUACGGUAGAAUACGUUAAACAAUCGUGGUUCACGAGCCUUUUAAAGGUUAGGUCUGUUUCAUACGUCGCACUAUCGUCGAAUUUAAUUCAGACGAAUUUAAUUGAACGAAUUAAGUUUUAUCCGUUAUGUAACCUGAAUAUCGAUCGUGACUAAAACACCACACGAGUACAUACGAGUAACAUACGAGUAACACAAAGGUACAUACGAGUACAUACGAGGAACACACGAGUACAUACGAGUAACAUACGAGUACAUACGAGUAACAUACGAGUAACAUACGAGUACAUACGAGUAACACACGAGUACAUACGAGUAAAACACAAGUACAUACGAGUAGAAUACGAGUAAAAUACGACUAGUAAACUUGUUUUUAGUGUUUGUAGAUUGAAUACAGGCAAAAAGAUCGUCUUCUCUGUCGAAAAACGUGAAAUAGACUGAAACCGGCUAUCUUUAAAACCCGGAACGGGGAAUGGGGGAACGGGGAAUGGAGAAACGGGGAAUGGGAGAACGGGAAGUGGAGGAACGGGGAACAGAGGGAAUGGUGGGGCGAGGGGGAAAGGGAGAAAAUAGGAGACAAGGGGCGGGGGAGGUCUGCCAGAUUCUAUAAACCACAACUUUGUAGUUUGUACAACAUCUACUUUUAGGUAUUCUACCUAGAUAGUUAGAUACAUGACACAAACCAUAGGCUUCACAUAUUUCACAGCAUGGUUUGCUUUCAAAACCCUGUGAGCAUGCACAAAACCUAACUCACGAACUGCAUCUACUUAAAAUAGUACUAGGUGAUAAACUUACAAUCCUCACAUAGCCUCAAUCACAACAUGUGGCUAGGCAAAUAUACGAACUACACAGUUAACGUAUACCGCGACAUACGACAGUUCCGAGACCGAAAUACAGGACAACAAGGCCUUUUUUAAGGAUUUUCCCGUGGGGGGUAUAGCAAUGGCCGACGGCCACGGUGUGUGGCCGACAUACUCCCCCAGAAAAUGUUUUAAAUUUGAACCUUUCAAUUACCAUUUCCUGCUUUAUGAGCGUCUAAAAUUGCUCUAAAAUUUAUGCUAAUUAUACUUGUAUUUGAAAUAAAAGAAGGAAAAAAUGCAGAAAAAAUAAAAGAAACCUUAACAAUAAUUUGUCCAUUACUUAUUAUUAAAGGGGGAUAGCAAUGGCCGUGGGUCACGUGUGUGGCCGACAUACCGCGAAUGAAUAGGGGGGUCUGGAGGCAUUAACUCCCCCAGAUAAUUUUUGAAAUUUUAAGCCCAAAAAUGCCAUUUUCUGCCGUCUGAGCAUCUAAAUUUUCUAGAAUUUAUCCUAACUAUACUUCUAUUUGAAAUAAAAGAAGGAAAAACACACAAAGAAUUUUAAAAAUAUUAACAAUAAUUUAUCAUUACUUAGUGUUAGAAACACGUAGGAUGCGCACGCGGUGACACAGUCCUUUAAAUCGAUUUUGUUAAAGAAGGACAAAGGAUAAAGCCUAAAACGUACGUUCCGUUUAUCAAUUUGUUAUUCUUCGCUGGUUUGUUUGUAUAAAUUUAGGAAAAAGGGAC
RNAcentral lists this long non-coding RNA (1840 nucleotides) under Paramuricea clavata. The record is from RNAcentral. Lineage: Eukaryota; Metazoa; Cnidaria; Anthozoa; Malacalcyonacea; Plexauridae.